AAGCUCGUAGUUGAAUUUCGGGGUCUACCCAUUGGUCAGGCUUAAUUGUCUGUACUGGUGAGAUGGAUCUCUACCUUCUGAGGAACUUUCAUGCCAUUUAUUUGGUGUGAUGGGAAAUCAGGACUGUUACUUUGAAAAAAUUAGAGUGUUUAAAGCAGACUAUCGUCUGAAUACAUUAGCAUGGAAUAAUGAAAUAGGACGGACUGAUUCUAUUUCGUUGGCUUCUAGGACCGAAGUAAUGAUUAAUAGGGAUAGUUGGG
RNAcentral lists this ribosomal RNA (260 nucleotides) under uncultured Glomeromycotina. Its description in RNAcentral is "partial 18S ribosomal RNA". It matches the Rfam family "Eukaryotic small subunit ribosomal RNA", at positions 624 to 886 of the family's 1831-position model. The record is from RNAcentral. Lineage: Eukaryota; Fungi; Glomeromycota.